RNAcentral lists this ribosomal RNA (468 nucleotides) under uncultured bacterium. RNAcentral's name for it is "partial 16S ribosomal RNA". It matches the Rfam family "Bacterial small subunit ribosomal RNA", at positions 28 to 507 of the family's 1533-position model. The record is from RNAcentral.
GACGAACGCUGGCGGCGUGCUUAACACAUGCAAGUCGAACGGAAAGGCCCUGCUUUUGUGGGGUGCUCGAAUGGCGAACGGGUGAGUAACACGUGAGUAACCUGCCCUUGACUUUGGGAUAACUUCAGGAAACUGGGGCUAAUACCGGAUAGGAGCUCCUGCUGCAUGGUGGGGGUUGGAAAGUUUCGGCGGUUGGGGAUGGACUCGCGGCUUAUCAGCUUGUUGGUGGGGUAGUGGCUUACCAAGGCUUUGACGGGUAGCCGGCCUGAGAGGGUGACCGGCGACAUUGGGACUGAGAUACGGCCCAGACUCCUACGGGAGGCAGCAGUGGGGAAUAUUGCACAAUGGGCGGAAGCCUGAUGCAGCAACGCCGCGUGCGGGAUGACGGCCUUCGGGUUGUAAACCGCUUUCGCCUGUGACGAAGCGUGAGUGACGGUAAUGGGUAAAGAAGCACCGGCUAACUACGUG